AUUGAACGCUGGCGGCAUGCCUUACACAUGCAAGUCGAACGGCAGCGCGGGCUUCUUCCUGGCCGCGAGUGGCGAACGGGCGAGUAAUGCAUCCGAACGUGCCCUGUAUUUGGGGAUAGCAUGGCGACAGCCGGAUUGAUACCGCAUACGACCUGAUGGUGAAAGCGAGGGAUCGAAAGUCCUCGCGCGAUUUGAGGGCCCGUAGUCGGAUUAGCUAGUUGGUGGGGUAACGGCUUACCAAGGCGACGAUCCGUAGCUGACCUGAGAGGACGACCAGCCACACUGGAACUGAGACACGGUCCAGACUCCUACGGGAGGCAGCAGUGGGGAAUUUUGGACAAUGGGGGCAACCCUGACCCAGCCAUGCCGCGUGCGGGAAGAAGGCCUUCGGGUUGUAAAACGCUUUUGUUCGGGAAGAAAUCCUCUGGGCUAAUACCCCGGGGGGAUGACGGUACCGGAAGAAUAAGCACCGGCUAACUACGUG
This 484-nucleotide ribosomal RNA is filed under the name uncultured bacterium. RNAcentral's name for it is "partial 16S ribosomal RNA". It matches the Rfam family "Bacterial small subunit ribosomal RNA", at positions 30 to 507 of the family's 1533-position model. The record is from RNAcentral.